RNAcentral lists this ribosomal RNA (392 nucleotides) under uncultured bacterium. RNAcentral describes it as "bacterial SSU rRNA". It matches the Rfam family "Bacterial small subunit ribosomal RNA", at positions 28 to 419 of the family's 1533-position model. The record is from RNAcentral.
GACGAACGCUGGCGGCGUGCUUAACACAUGCAAGUCGAGCGGUAAGGCCCUUUCGGGGGUACACGAGCGGCGAACGGGUGAGUAACACGUGGGUGACCUGCCCUUAGCUCUGGGAUAAGCCUGGGAAACUGGGUCUAAUACCGGAUAUGACUCCAUAACGCAUGUUGUGGGGUGGAAAGCCUUGUGCGGCUAGGGAUGGGCCCGCGGCCUAUCAGCUUGUUGGUGGGGUGAUGGCCUACCAAGGCGACGACGGGUAGCCGGCCGAGAGGGCGACCGGCCACACUGGGACUGAGACACGGCCCAGACUCCUACGGGAGGGCAGCAGUGGGGAAGUCUUGCGCAAUGGGGGAAACCCGUGAUGCAGCGACGCCGCGUGGAGGAUGAAGGGUCUA